RNAcentral lists this ribosomal RNA (491 nucleotides) under uncultured bacterium. RNAcentral's name for it is "partial 16S ribosomal RNA". It matches the Rfam family "Bacterial small subunit ribosomal RNA", at positions 29 to 507 of the family's 1533-position model. The record is from RNAcentral.
AUUGAACGCUGGCGGCAUGCUUUACACAUGCAAGUCGAACGGUAACAGGCCUUCGGGUGCUGACGAGUGGCGAACGGGUGAGUAUGCAUCCGGACGUGGCCAGAGGGUGGGGAUAACGCAGCGAAAACUGGGCUAAUACCGCAAGUGGUCUGGAGAUGAAAGCGGGGGACCAAGCAGCCAUGUUUGGCCUUGCGCCCCUGGGACGGCCGAUGUCAGAUUAGGUAGUUGGUGGGGUAAAGGCCUACCAAGCCGACGAUCUGUAGCUGGUCUGAGAGGACGACCAGCCACACUGGGACUGAGACACGGCCCAGACUCCUACGGGAGGCAGCAGUGGGGAAUUUUGGACAAUGGGCGCAAGCCUGAUCCAGCAAUGCCGCGUGCGGGAAGAAGGCCUUCGGGUUGUAAACCGCUUUUGUACGGAACGAAAAGGCUCUGGCUAAUACCUGGGGCUGAUGACGGUACCGGAAGAAUAAGCACCGGCUAACUACGUG